RNAcentral lists this ribosomal RNA (655 nucleotides) under uncultured archaeon. RNAcentral's name for it is "bacterial SSU rRNA". It matches the Rfam family "Archaeal small subunit ribosomal RNA", at positions 1 to 666 of the family's 1478-position model. The record is from RNAcentral.
UCCGGUUGAUCCUGCCGGACCCGACUGCUAUCAGAGUGGGACUAAGCCAUGCGAGUCAACGCCGCAAGGCGUGGCAUACGGCUCAGUAACACGUAGUCAACAUGCCCAAGGGACGUGGAUAACCUCGGGAAACUGAGGAUAAACCGCGAUAGGCCAAGAUUUCUGGAAUGGAUCAUGGCCGAAAUCUAUAUGGCCCUUGGAUUGGACUGCGGCCGAUCAGGCUGUUGGUGAGGUAAUGGCCCACCAAACCUAUAACCGGUACGGGCUUUGAGAGAAGGAGCCCGGAGAUGGGCACUGAGACAAGGGCCCAGGCCCUAUGGGGCGCAGCAGGCGCGAAAACUCUGCAAUAGGCGAAAGCUUGACAGGGUUACUCUGAGUGAUGCCCGCUAAGGGCAUCUUUUGGUACCUCUAAAAAUGGUGCAAAAUAAGGGGUGGGCAAGUCUGGUGUCAGCCGCCGCGGUAAUACCAGCACCCCGAGUGGUCGGGACGAUUAUUGGGCCUAAAGCAUCCGUAGCUUGUCCUGCAAGUCUUCCGUUAAAUCCACCUGCUCAACAGAUGGGCUGCGGGAGAUACUACAGGGCUAGGAGGCGGGAGAGGCAAGCGGUACUCAGUGGGUAGGGGUAAAAUCCUCUGAUCCACUGAAGACCACCAGUGG